GUCCACGCCGUAAACGAUGAAUGCUAGGUGUUAGGGGUUUCAAUACCCUUGGUGCCGAAGUUAACACAUUAAGCAUUCCGCCUGGGGAGUACGCUCGCAAGAGUGAAACUCAAAGGAAUUGACGGGGACCCCGCACAAGCAGUGGAGUAUGUGGUUUAAUUCGAAGCAACGCGAAGAACCUUACCAGGUCUUGACAUCCCUCUGAAUACAUUAGAGAUAGUGUAGGCCUUCGGGACAGAGGAGACAGGUGGUGCAUGGUUGUCGU
RNAcentral lists this ribosomal RNA (265 nucleotides) under uncultured bacterium. RNAcentral describes it as "partial 16S ribosomal RNA". It matches the Rfam family "Bacterial small subunit ribosomal RNA", at positions 793 to 1055 of the family's 1533-position model. The record is from RNAcentral.